This 29-nucleotide ribosomal RNA is filed under the name Echinococcus canadensis. RNAcentral's name for it is "partial 5.8S ribosomal RNA". The record is from RNAcentral. Lineage: Eukaryota; Metazoa; Platyhelminthes; Cestoda; Cyclophyllidea; Taeniidae.
AACUGUGUGCGGUGGAUCACUUGGCUCGU